CAGCCGCCGCGGGAAUACGUAGGUGGCAAGCGUUGUCCGGAAUUAUUGGGCGUAAAGCGCGCGCAGGCGGAUCAGUCAGUCUGUCUUAAAAGUUCGGGGCUUAACCCCGUGAGGGGAUGGAAACUGCUGAUCUAGAGUAUCGGAGAGGAAAGUGGAAUUCCUAGUGUAGCGGUGAAAUGCGUAGAUAUUAGGAAGAACACCAGUGGCGAAGGCGACUUUCUGGACGAAAACUGACGCUGAGGCGCGAAAGCCAGGGGAGCGAACGGGAUUAGAUACCCCUGUAGUCCCUGUCUCUUAUACC
This 301-nucleotide ribosomal RNA is filed under the name uncultured bacterium. RNAcentral describes it as "partial 16S ribosomal RNA". It matches the Rfam family "Bacterial small subunit ribosomal RNA", at positions 509 to 808 of the family's 1533-position model. The record is from RNAcentral.